RNAcentral lists this ribosomal RNA (588 nucleotides) under uncultured bacterium. Its description in RNAcentral is "partial 16S ribosomal RNA". It matches the Rfam family "Bacterial small subunit ribosomal RNA", at positions 355 to 1375 of the family's 1533-position model. The record is from RNAcentral.
UGGGGAAUUUUGGACAAUGGGCGAAAGCCUGAUCCAGCAAUGCCGCGUGUGUGAAGAAGGCCUUCGGGUUGUAAAGCACUUUUGUCCGGAAAGAAAUCCUUGGCUCUAAUACAGUCGGGGGAUGACGGUACCGGAAGAAUAAGCACCGGCUAACUACGUGCCAGCAGCCGCGGUAAUACGUAGGGUGCAAGCGUUAAUCGGAAUUACUGGGCGUAAAGCGUGCGCAGGCGGUUUGCUAAGACCGAUGUGAAAUCCCCGGGCUCAACCUGGGAACUGCAUUGGUGACUGGCAGGCUAGAGUAUGGCAGAGGGGGGUAGAAUUCCGCGUGUAGCAGUGAAAUGCGUAGAGAUGUGGAGGAAUACCGAUGGCGAAGGCAGCCCCCCUGGGCCAAAUACUGACGCUCAUGCACGAAAAGCGUGGGGGAGCAAAACAGGAUUAGAUACCCUGGUAGUCCGCGCCCUAAACGAUGUCAACUAGUUGUUGGGGAUUCAUUUCCUAGUAACGUAGCUAACGCGUGAAGUUGACCGCCUGGGGAGUACGGUCGCAAGAUUAAAACUUAAUGAAUUGACGGGGUCAUAGCUGUUUCCU